CCUACGGGUGGCUGCAGUGGGGAAUAUUGGACAAUGGGCGAAAGCCUGAUCCAGCAAUGCCGCGUGAGUGAUGAAGGCCUUAGGGUUGUAAAGCUCUUUUACCCGGGAUGAUAAUGACAGUACCGGGAGAAUAAGCUCCGGCUAACUCCGUGCCAGCAGCCGCGGUAAUACGGAGGGAGCUAGCGUUGUUCGGAAUUACUGGGCGUAAAGCGCACGUAGGCGGCUUUGUAAGUUAGAGGUGAAAGCCUGGAGCUCAACUCCAGAAUUGCCUUUAAGACUGCAUCGCUUGAAUCCAGGAGAGGUGAGUGGAAUUCCGAGUGUAGAGGUGAAAUUCGUAGAUAUUCGGAAGAACACCAGUGGCGAAGGCGGCUCACUGGACUGGUAUUGACGCUGAGGUGCGAAAGCGUGGGGAGCAAACAGGAUUAGAUACCCAAGUAGUC
This 440-nucleotide ribosomal RNA is filed under the name uncultured bacterium. RNAcentral describes it as "bacterial SSU rRNA". It matches the Rfam family "Bacterial small subunit ribosomal RNA", at positions 338 to 795 of the family's 1533-position model. The record is from RNAcentral.